This 624-nucleotide ribosomal RNA is filed under the name Paenibacillus sabinae. RNAcentral's name for it is "bacterial SSU rRNA". It matches the Rfam family "Bacterial small subunit ribosomal RNA", at positions 261 to 884 of the family's 1533-position model. Lineage: Bacteria; Bacillati; Bacillota; Bacilli; Caryophanales; Paenibacillaceae. The record is from RNAcentral.
UGGCUCACCAAGGCGACGAUGCGUAGCCGACCUGAGAGGGUGAACGGCCACACUGGGACUGAGACACGGCCCAGACUCCUACGGGAGGCAGCAGUAGGGAAUCUUCCGCAAUGGGCGAAAGCCUGACGGAGCAACGCCGCGUGAGUGAUGAAGGUUUUCGGAUCGUAAAGCUCUGUUGCCAGGGAAGAACGUUCUCUAGAGUAACUGCUAGAGAAGUGACGGUACCUGAGAAGAAAGCCCGGCUAACUACGUGCCAGCAGCCGCGGUAAUUCGUAGGGGGCAAGCGUUGUCCGGAAUUAUUGGGCGUAAAGCGCGCGCAGGCGGCUGUUUAAGUCUGGUGUUUAAACCAUGGGCUCAACCUGUGGUCGCACUGGAAACUGGGCAGCUUGAGUGCAGAAGAGGAAAGUGGAAUUCCACGUGUAGCGGUGAAAUGCGUAGAGAUGUGGAGGAACACCAGUGGCGAAUGCGACUUUCUGGGCUGUAACUGACGCUGAGGCGCGAAAGCGUGGGGGAGCAAACAGGAUUAGAUACCUGGUAGUCCACGCCGUACACGAUGAGUGCUAGUGUAAGGGGUUCGAUACCUGUGCCGAAGUAACACAGUAAGCACUCCGCCUGGGGAGUACG